RNAcentral lists this non-coding RNA (28 nucleotides) under Bombyx mori (domestic silkworm). The record is from RNAcentral. Lineage: Eukaryota; Metazoa; Arthropoda; Insecta; Lepidoptera; Bombycidae.
UCCAGGGUUGAAUUUUGUCUAUGGCGAC